This is a long non-coding RNA of Eptesicus fuscus (big brown bat), 716 nucleotides long. RefSeq lists it as uncharacterized. The record is from RefSeq and is a predicted model, not a curated record. Lineage: Eukaryota; Metazoa; Chordata; Mammalia; Chiroptera; Vespertilionidae. The transcript has 3 exons.
CCCCCCCCCCACUCCCGGGAAGGUGUGGUCAGGUACAUCUCCCUGGAGGUGAAUGUCUCUGUCUGAAGGAUGCGGCUGAGAUGAACCCUGAUGGGGAAGCCAUUCUGACACAAACUUCCGGACUUCCAAGGCCAGGCUGGAGCCCAAGAAGGCUUUGCAGACCCCGAGUGGCCCAGUGUGUGAGCCAAGUGCUGUCUCUGGAGAUGAAGCCAACAGCUCAGCUCUGCCUGCGUGUCAGCUGCCUGGCGCGGGAGCCAGCUGAGCAGGACCGGCGCGGCCCCGAGGCGGAGGCCAGGUGUGUGUCUCUGGUCAGGCCGGCUGAGCGGCCACGCCUGAUGUCACCCGGUGUCACCGAGCCCAGGCCCCACCCGGGCUGGGCUAUGCGUGCUGGCCCGCUCUGCCAAUGCGCUUAGGGCCCUUAUUUCCUCUUUGAAUGUGUUUCUGAAAAACAUAUUCUUUCAGGUGAAAAAACAGUUUAUGUUUUUUAGGAUGAUGAUUUGAAAUAAAGCAAAUACUGGUGACAUAGUUACAGAGAGCUGUGAAAGAACCACAGACAAUCUACUCUAACUGCAGUUCUGUUUAUCAUUCUAUAAAAGCAGCCACCUUUGGGAUUUGUUUCUGUGAGUGGUAUCAAUUCCCCAAAGAGAUCAGCAUAAAAAAGCGAUUAAAAGAAUUUUGUGGGAUUUUUGCUUUUAAAUAAAAUCUUGGUAAACCAA